GGGACACAUUGGGGUUGCUGUGGGGCUCUGUGGGGCUCUAUGAGGCGGUGUGGGGUUCUGUGGCGUGGUUUUGGGGUCCUAUGGGGCUCUAUGGGGCGCUAUGGGGCAGUUUUGGUGUUCUGUGGGGCGGUUUUGGGGUUGGACGGGGCGGUCCAAUAAAGCUCAGCCGUUGGUCACUGCUGGUGUGAGAGCGGAUGGGUUGGGGAUAAUGGGGUCAAUAGGCGGAGCGCCUCCGGAAAGAACCGAAGUUCUUCGGCAACCGGAAGUCAAUACCCGAACGGCGCUCGGAACCGGAAGUCGGUACCCGAAGGGCUCCGAAGCGCUCCGAGCGGCCAUGGCGUGACUUCCGUCCCUUCCCCCCUUCCCCCAUUUUUUCUUCACUGCGGAUUCUCAGCUCCUCCGGCCGCCCCCCGGGUUUCGCUCCGCCCCCUCCGGGGGGUCCAUGGGCCGGGAACGAGGAGGCGGGGGGGCGGCCGAGCGGAGGAGGCGGCGCUGGGAUGGGCGAAAGGAAUCGGAGCGGCUGAGGGAACCCGAAGGUGUCCGAAGGGAGCCGAACGGGAGCCGAAGGUCUCCGAAGGGACACGAAGUGGUCUGAGGGGACCCGAAGGUGUCCGAAGGGAGCCGAAGAUCUCCGAAGGGACACGAAGCGGCCUGAGGGGACCCGAACGCCACCGAAGGGAGCCGAACCGGACCCGAAGAAUCCCGAAGUGGUCUGUGGUGACCCGAAUGCCGCCGAACGGAUCCGGAAGGACCCGAACCGAAGCCGAAGAGACCCGAAGCGGACUGCAGUGACCCGAACGCCUCCGAACGGAUCCGGAAGGACCCGAAUCGGACCCGAAGAAUCCUGAAGAGGUCUGUGGUCACCCGAAUGCUUCCGAACGAAUCCGGAAGGACCCGAAUCGGACCCGAGGACACCCGAAACAAUCUGCAGUGACCCGAACGCCUCCGAACGGGCCCGAAUCGGACCCGAGGACAUCCGAAGCGGUCUGCGGUCACCCGAACAUCUCCGAAGGGAUACGAAAGGACCCGAACCGGAGCCGAAGAGACCCGAAACAAUCUGCAGUGAUCCGAACGGACCCGAAUCGGACCCGAGGACACCCGAAACGGUCUGCGGUCACCCGAACACUUCCGAAGGGAUCCGGAAGGACCCGAAUCGGACCCGAGGACACCCGAAGCGGUCUGCAGUGACCCGAACACCUCCGAACGGACCCGAGGACACCCGAAGCCAUCUGCAGUGACCCGAACGCUGCCGAACGGACCCGAACCGGACCCGACGACACCCGAAGUGAUCUGCGGCCACCCGAACGCCUCCGAACGGAUCCGAAGAGACCCGAAGCGAUCUGCAGUGACCCGAACGCUGCCGAACGGACCCGAACCGGACCCGAAGAAUCCCGAAGCGUUCUGAAGGGUCUCCCCGAAGAGGCCCGAACCGGGCCCGGCCCGCCAUGGCCUUCAGCGGCCCCGCGCUGUUCCUCCUCGGCCUCCUGAUGGGUGAGCGCGACUUCAGACCCCCAAACCCACCCCCAAAUAACCCCCACCCACCACGGGACCCCCCCGACCCCUCAAAGGAUCCCUUCAAGGACCUCUCAAAGUCGUCGUGUCCCCGCCCCUCCCCCCCCCUUAUGAACCUUCCAGGACCUCAAGCCUCCCCAUGACCCCUUAUGGACCUUCCAGGACCUUAUAACCUGCUCAGGACCCCCCCAAGAACCUUCAAGGACCCACAAAGAGCCUUCCAGGACCCUAUAACCUUCCCAUGACCCCCCCAUCAACCUUCCAGGACCCCAAACCUCCC
This 1792-nucleotide long non-coding RNA is filed under the name Phasianus colchicus (ring-necked pheasant). RNAcentral describes it as "lncRNA (ENSPCLG00000017647.1)". The record is from RNAcentral. Lineage: Eukaryota; Metazoa; Chordata; Aves; Galliformes; Phasianidae.